AUGGAACUAACCCAGACUGACGAUGUUUUCAGCAGAAUUACCAUGGUGUUAUUUAUGUGCAGGAGCAAACGUUCUCGGAAUGACCUGAAACUGCACGGAGACACUUUUCAGAAAAUAAGAAAAAUACCUGCCAAAGAUGAAGGCCAGGGGGACCCCUACCUCAUGGGCCCCCUGUUGCCUCUCCGACUCCACCUCCACCUCCAUAUAUUGAGUUUCGGGGAGAAAAAAAAUCAAGGAGAAGAAAUCAUCGCGUUUUACGAUACAGAGCUGCCGCCAAGCCCUAAAACCUCUCGGGAGGGCUGA
Molecule: ribosomal RNA, 303 nt
Filed under: Triticum aestivum (bread wheat)
Lineage: Eukaryota; Viridiplantae; Streptophyta; Magnoliopsida; Poales; Poaceae
Description: partial small subunit ribosomal RNA
Source: RNAcentral